This 467-nucleotide ribosomal RNA is filed under the name uncultured bacterium. RNAcentral describes it as "partial 16S ribosomal RNA". It matches the Rfam family "Bacterial small subunit ribosomal RNA", at positions 28 to 506 of the family's 1533-position model. The record is from RNAcentral.
GACGAACGCUGGCGGCGUGCUUAACACAUGCAAGUCGAACGGAAAGGCCCUGCUUUUGUGGGGUGCUCGAGUGGCGAACGGGUGAGUAACACGUGAGUAACCUGCCCUUGACUUUGGGAUAACUUCAGGAAACUGGGGCUAAUACCGGAUAGGAGCUCCUGCUGCAUGGUGGGGGUUGGAAAGUUUCGGCGGUUGGGGAUGGACUCGCGGCUUUUCAGCUUUUUGGUGGGGUAGUGGCUUACCAAGGCUUUGACGGGUAGCCGGCCUGGCGGGGUGACCGGGCUCUUGGGGAUAGGAGACGGGCCGAGACCCGUAGGGGGGGGAGGUGGGGGAAAUAUUAGAUAAGGGGCGGAAGACUGAUGGACCAACGCCGGCUGGGGGGAGGCGGCCUUCGGGUGGAAAGCCGCUUUCGCUUGUGACGAAGUGUGAAUGGCGGAAAUGGGUAAAGAAGCACCGGCUAACAGCGU